CAUUUGGCAGGUUUAGAAUGUCUGUGGGUGUCUGUUCAACUAAUUAAGGAAGUGGACCAGUGGUGGGAGGUUCUGCCAGCCCGUGGUUCUGCAGGAACUGACAAAGAUCUCCGUGGUCCAGAUACUCCAUGAUGACACACAGAGGCUCUUCUUGUGAGCACAGACCCAGGACACGAGCCAAGUUAUGAUCUUCUAGAGCUGACAGGAUACGCACAUCUCGCUGGAAGUCCAAUCUGUAAAUAACAAAAAUCAUUGAGUAAAUGAAAACCAACUGUUAAGUUUC
Homalodisca vitripennis (glassy-winged sharpshooter) is the source of this 283-nucleotide long non-coding RNA. RefSeq lists it as uncharacterized. The record is from RefSeq and is a predicted model, not a curated record. The transcript is spliced from 2 exons. Lineage: Eukaryota; Metazoa; Arthropoda; Insecta; Hemiptera; Cicadellidae.